AUGAUACAAACAACCCAUAAGAGAAAGCUACCUUUGGUGGCCCUCAAGUUGGAUUUUCAGAAGGCCUUUGACACGGUCAGCUGGCCUUGCCUCUUCAGCAUUCUCUCUUCUAGAGGCUUUCCUCGAUGCUGGAGGUGUUGGAUAGAAUCCCUACUUUCUACAGCAACUUCUAAAGUUCUGCUGAAUGGAGAGUUGGGG
RNAcentral lists this ribosomal RNA (198 nucleotides) under Triticum aestivum (bread wheat). Its description in RNAcentral is "partial small subunit ribosomal RNA". The record is from RNAcentral. Lineage: Eukaryota; Viridiplantae; Streptophyta; Magnoliopsida; Poales; Poaceae.